Molecule: non-coding RNA, 73 nt
Organism: Tribonema minus
Lineage: Eukaryota; Xanthophyceae; Tribonematales; Tribonemataceae
Source: the annotation of a GenBank genome assembly
GACGGUUUGGUCUAGCGGUUAGGAUCUGACAUUCGGGUUGUCGGGGUCAGGGGUUCGAAUCCCCUAACCGUCC